This 578-nucleotide ribosomal RNA is filed under the name uncultured bacterium. RNAcentral describes it as "bacterial SSU rRNA". It matches the Rfam family "Bacterial small subunit ribosomal RNA", at positions 338 to 916 of the family's 1533-position model. The record is from RNAcentral.
CCUACGGGAGGCAGCAGUGAGGAAUAUUGGUCAAUGGGCGCAAGCCUGAACCAGCCAUCCCGCGUGCAGGAUGACGGCCCUAUGGGUUGUAAACUGCUUUUAUACACCAAGAAAAACCCCCACGUGUGGGGACUCGACGGUAGUGUAUGAAUAAGCAUCGGCUAACUCCGUGCCAGCAGCCGCGGUAAUACGGAGGAUGCAAGCGUUAUCCGGAUUCAUUGGGUUUAAAGGGUGCGUAGGCGGCUUUUUAAGUCAGUGGUGAAAUCCUGCCGCUUAACGGUAGAAUUGCCAUUGAUACUGAAAAGCUUGAGUACAUUUGAGGUAAGCGGAAUGUGUAGUGUAGCGGUGAAAUGCUUAGAUAUUACACAGAACACCAAUUGCGAAGGCAGCUUACUAAACUGAUACUGACGCUGAUGCACGAAAGCGUGGGGAGCGAACAGGAUUAGAUACCCUGGUAGUCCACGCCGUAAACGAUGCUCACUCGCUGUUUGCGAUACACAGCAAGCGGCCAAGCGAAAGCAUUAAGUGAGCCACCUGGGGAGUACGAUCGCAAGGUUGAAACUCAAAGGAAUUGACGG